ACUCCUACGGGAGGCAGCAGUAGGGAAUCUUCCACAAUGGGCGCAAGCCUGAUGGGGCAACACCGCGUGAGUGAAGAAGGGUUUCGGCUCGUAAAGCUCUGUUGUUAAAGAAGAACACGUAUGAGAGUAACUGUUCAUACGUUGACGGUAUUUAACCAGAAAGUCACGGCUAACUACGUGCCAGCAGCCGCGGUAAUACGUAGGUGGCAAGCGUUAUCCGGAUUUAUUGGGGCGUAAAGAGAGUGCAGGCGGUUUUCUAAGUCUGAUGUGAAAGCCUUCGGCUUAACCGGAGAAGUGCAUCGGAAACUGGAUAACUUGAGUGCAGAAGAGGGUAGUGGAACUCCAUGUGUAGCGGUGGAAUGCGUAGAUAUAUGGAAGAACACCAGUGGCGAAGGCGGCUACCUGGUCUGCAACUGACGCUGAGACUCGAAAGCAUGGGUAGCGAACAGGAUUAGAUACCCUGGUAGGAUAGCG
RNAcentral lists this ribosomal RNA (474 nucleotides) under uncultured bacterium. RNAcentral describes it as "bacterial SSU rRNA". It matches the Rfam family "Bacterial small subunit ribosomal RNA", at positions 335 to 801 of the family's 1533-position model. The record is from RNAcentral.